Molecule: transfer RNA, 72 nt
Filed under: Sphaerobolus stellatus SS14
Lineage: Eukaryota; Fungi; Basidiomycota; Agaricomycetes; Geastrales; Sphaerobolaceae
Description: tRNA-Asp (GTC) (tRNA-Asp-GTC-17-1)
Rfam family: tRNA
About the family: Transfer RNA (tRNA) molecules are approximately 80 nucleotides in length. Their secondary structure includes four short double-helical elements and three loops (D, anti-codon, and T loops). Further hydrogen bonds mediate the characteristic L-shaped molecular structure. tRNAs have two regions of fundamental functional importance: the anti-codon, which is responsible for specific mRNA codon recognition, and the 3' end, to which the tRNAs corresponding amino acid is attached (by aminoacyl-tRNA synthetases). tRNAs cope with the degeneracy of the genetic code in two manners: having more than one tRNA (with a specific anti-codon) for a particular amino acid; and 'wobble' base-pairing, i.e. permitting non-standard base-pairing at the 3rd anti-codon position.
Source: RNAcentral
UCUUAGGUAGUAUAUUGGUUAGUAUUUGUGCCUGUCAUGCGCAAGUCCGGGGUUCAAUUCCCUGUCUGAGAG